UUCUGCGCCUUCAUUUUUGAUUGAAUUUCUCAUCUGCAACAAGCUCUUGCUUGUUGAGUAGAGCAGCAAACUUCAACCGCGAAAAGGCACCUUAGAGACCAGAACGAGAAGCAAAGGCACCAGCAGACAUGCCUUCCUUGGGUAUGGCCACCUUCCGCUGAAAGCCAGGCGGGGAGACUCCGGGCCCCAGGCUAGGACGACCGCGCCCCUUAAAGAGCCUUGGAGGACCUGGAAUCGCCAAGUGGGAGAAACAAAAGCGGUUCAUCUCUGAGUAAGAGGGUGCGGUAAACCCUCGAGGAGGGUGAGGCGCCCAGAAUACGCAGAAAGGAAGACCCCGGGACAGCCCGAGGACCGCCGCCGCGCGGAAGUCUGGAGUGGCUCACUGCAGAUUCACCACCCGGCCCUCCCGCACCUUCCCGUCGGAUUCUUUCCGAAGACAGCGUGGAGGGCGGGUGACCUCGGGGAAUUUACGCCGCUUGUUCCUGUUACACACAUCUGUUGAGUGUUUAUUUUAUGCCAGGCCUUUAGCCGAGCUCAGAGGAUACGCUAGUUAUAAAACAGACAUGAAAGUUACAGUUCCCUCACCUGUAGAAUGGGCGGAGGGAUGGGCUCCAUCCCAUGACGGAAUUUCAUGCAGUAUAAUACAGGCCUUAGCGAUUUCCAUCAAGUACAUAAAGCUUACAACAACUUAAAAAAAAUUUAAAAUUUUAUGAAAUUUAGAAUUGGAAUCCUUGUUUUUUCUUGAAUAUCACCAUAUUUAGCCAUUAGUGUAGUUUUGAAAGUAUUGUAAAUUUAAUUUUACAAGGAAAUUUCAUAAUUGUAAGCAAAUAUGGGAUGUUAUAGUUAAACCGUAAUUAAAAACUUGAAACUGAAUUUCCUAAUUUAGUAGUUUGUCAACUCUGGGAACGGGGUCCACGUCAUCUGACCCCACUUCCGUGCAGGCCAACACCCACGGAACAAAUAUGCCUUAUCUGGAGCAUAAAGAGCCUAAAGGUUUGCUUUCUGGAGCCUGCUCACGCCGAAUAGAGCACAGGCUGUCUUCAAAAUCUUGUGUGUGAUCUUGAAGUAGUAACGGCUGUAUUUACACCGACUUGGUUUCUUAUUUUAGUUGAAAAUACCUGGAUUGUGCCAAAGAAUUUAACUGUUUUAAGCUUUUGCUUGUCCUAGAUUUUUAAAAAAGAUUUAAUUGAAAUAGUGUGUACACAUAUUAUA
Phyllostomus discolor (pale spear-nosed bat) is the source of this 1212-nucleotide long non-coding RNA. RefSeq lists it as uncharacterized. Lineage: Eukaryota; Metazoa; Chordata; Mammalia; Chiroptera; Phyllostomidae. The record is from RefSeq and is a predicted model, not a curated record. The transcript is spliced from 3 exons.